GUGGGUGAUCUGCCCUGCACUUUGGGAUAAGCCUGGGAAACUGGGUCUAAUACCGAAUAGGACCACGCGCUUCAUGGUGUGUGGUGGAAAGCUUUUGCGGUGUGGGAUGGGCCCGCGGCCUAUCAGCUUGUUGGUGGGGUAAUGGCCUACCAAGGCGACGACGGGUAGCCGGCCUGAGAGGGUGACCGGCCACACUGGGACUGAGAUACGGCCCAGACUCCUACGGGAGGCAGCAGUGGGGAAUAUUGCACAAUGGGCGCAAGCCUGAUGCAGCGACGCCGCGUGAGGGAUGACGGCCUUCGGGUUGUAAACCUCUUUCAAUAGGGACGAAGCGCAAGUGACGGUACCUAUAGAAGAAGCACCGGCCAACUACGUGCCAGCAGCCGCGGUAAUACGUAGGGUGCGAGCAUUGUCCGGAAUUACUGGGCGUAAAGAGCUCGUAGGUGGUUUGUCGCGUUGUUCGUGAAAACUCACAGCUUAACUGUGGGCGUGCGGGCGAUACGGGCAGACUAGAGUACUGCAGGGGAGACUGGAAUUCCUGGUGUAGCGGUGGAAUGCGCAGAUAUCAGGAGGAACACCGGUGGCGAAGGCGGGUCUCUGGGCAGUAACUGACGCUGAGGAGCGAAAGCGUGGGGAGCGAACAGGAUUAGAUACCCUGGUAGUCCACGCCGUAAACGGUGGGUACUAGGUGUGGGUUCCUUCCUUGGGAUCCGUGCCGUAGCUAACGCAUUAAGUACCCCGCCUGGGGAGUACGGCCGCAAGGCUAAAACUCAAAGGAAUUGACGGGGGCCCGCACAAGCGGCGGAGCAUGUGGAUUAAUU
This 821-nucleotide ribosomal RNA is filed under the name uncultured bacterium. Its description in RNAcentral is "bacterial SSU rRNA". It matches the Rfam family "Bacterial small subunit ribosomal RNA", at positions 117 to 951 of the family's 1533-position model. The record is from RNAcentral.